Long non-coding RNA from Mya arenaria, 453 nucleotides. RefSeq lists it as uncharacterized. The record is from RefSeq and is a predicted model, not a curated record. NCBI's taxonomy places the organism in Eukaryota, Metazoa, Mollusca, Bivalvia, Myida, Myidae. The transcript has 2 exons.
AAGGUUUCCGGUUGUUUGCUUAGACGUCAUCGUGCUCGGCCAAAUAUGUAUAAAACUAUAGAAAUGCUUAAUUGCGAACAUUCUUCUGCCACACUAGUAUUAACUUCUGUUUUAGAUAUGUAGGGUGAUUAUGAAAACCGCUUUCGAUGAACUUGCGCGGUGUGAAAAUGGCGGAGAUAGUUGUGGGACCGACAACAGUGGCGUUUGUAACGUCUGUUGUCGAGGAGGAGGGUGUAACUAUGGUGAUUGCCAUGUUAUCAGAAAUCAACUUUAUGACCAGUACAAGAAUAACGGAGUCUUCGACCUGGAUACUCUGGAAUCAAAAUCAGGAGGCACCAAUACGACCCAGUCGCCGGGCGGAAAAUAGACCCGUGCAACGGACACCAUCUAAAAAAUUUUGAUGAAAUUCUCAUUUUGUUUCGUUAAUAAAAUGACGUGCAUCAUCGAAAUGUA